GGAAGACGGUGCGAAUCCGUCGCAGACGCGCUGCUGUGACCGGGCAAAACGCCGGCCGCGACCACUGGGCACACCGCCCGGGAAGGAAGCGGCCACAUGGCCGGGGGACGUGCCCCCGCCCGGAAGCCAGAAGAC
Molecule: non-coding RNA, 135 nt
Filed under: Desulfovibrionaceae bacterium
Lineage: Bacteria; Pseudomonadati; Thermodesulfobacteriota; Desulfovibrionia; Desulfovibrionales; Desulfovibrionaceae
Source: RNAcentral